RNAcentral lists this ribosomal RNA (515 nucleotides) under uncultured bacterium. RNAcentral describes it as "partial 16S ribosomal RNA". It matches the Rfam family "Bacterial small subunit ribosomal RNA", at positions 28 to 523 of the family's 1533-position model. The record is from RNAcentral.
GAUGAACGCUGGCGGCGUGCCUAAUACAUGCAAGUCGAGCGAAUGGAUUAAGAGCUUGCUCUUAUGAAGUUAGCGGCGGACGGGUGAGUAACACGUGGGUAACCUGCCCAUAAGACUGGGAUAACUCCGGGAAACCGGGGCUAAUACCGGAUAACAUUUUGAGCCGCAUGGUUCGAAAUUGAAAGGCGGCUUCGGCUGGCACUUAUGGAUGGAUCCGCGUCGCAUUAGCUAGUUGGUGAGGUAACGGCUCACCAAGGCGACGAUGCGUAGCCGACCUGAGAGGGUGAUCGGCCACACUGGGACUGAGACACGGCCCAGACUCCUACGGGAGGCAGCAGUAGGGAAUCUUCCGCAAUGGACGAAAGUCUGACGGAGCAACGCCGCGUGAGUGAUGAAGGCUUUCGGGUCGUAAAACUCUGUUGUUAGGGAAGAACAAGUGCUAGUUGAAUAAGCUGGCACCUUGACGGUACCUAACCAGAAAGCCACGGCUAACUACGUGCCAGCCGCCGCGGUAA